RNAcentral lists this long non-coding RNA (973 nucleotides) under Octopus vulgaris (common octopus). Lineage: Eukaryota; Metazoa; Mollusca; Cephalopoda; Octopoda; Octopodidae. The record is from RNAcentral.
CAGUAAUGUACAAAUGUCUGGAAAGCGAACAGUAUAUGAGUCAGAUACAUGCUUGUGUGUGUAUGGAGGGGAGAAAAUCAGGUGUAGUGUUGGCGAAUCUCAGGAAGCAUGGAAGUUUUGAAGGAUGCAGUGCUCCGACAACUAACAACUGAUGCCGCCAGUUUGUUCCAUGCUUCAGCAUGUGUAUGGAGGGCAGAAGAUCAGGUGUAGUGUUAGCGAAUCUCAGGAAGCAUGGAAGUUUUGAAGAAUGCAGUGCUCCGACAACUAACAACUGAUGCCGCCAGUUUGUUCCAUGCUUCAGCGUGUGUAUGGAGGGCAGAAGAUCAGGUGUAGUGUUGGCGAAUCUCAGGAAGCAUGGAAGUUUUGAAGGAUGCAGUGCUCCGACAACUAACAACUGAUGCCGCCAGUUUGUUCCAUGCUUCAGCAUGUGUAUGGAGGGGAGAAGAUCAGGUGUAGUGUUGGCGAAUCUCAGGAAGCAUGGAAGUUUUGAAGGAUGCAGUGCUCCGACAACUAACAACUGAUGCCGGCAGUUUGUUCCAUGCUUCAGCGUGUGUAUGGAGGGGAGAAGAUCAGGUGUAGUGUUGGCGAAUCUCAGGGAGCAUGGAAGUUUUGAAGGAUGCAGUGCUCCGACAACUAACAACCGAUGCCGGCAGUUUGUUCCAUGCUUCAGCAACUCUCAGCGUGAAAAAAUGUUUCCUGAAGUCAUGGGAGCUGUGCUGUUUUCUGACUUUGUAAAUAUGUCCACGGGUGUUAGAUGGGUGGAAUUUGAAAAGGUGCUCAGAGUUAUUGUUUGUGCGAUGGUUGAUAAUUUUAUGGGUGUCUGCCAAGUCAGCUGACAGACGCCGGAGUUUCAAUGUGUCCAUGCCAAGGGAAGUAAGGCGUUCAGAAUAUGGCAAAUGCCUGAUGGAGGGUAUUCAUUUGGUAGCACGUCGCUGAACAGCUUCCAAACGAUUGAUAUCCUGGGCAAGAUAGG